CCUCCUCAACUUCUUAUACUGCCCCUGCAUCAAUUAACCACCGCUCGCCUUCGUACACCAUGGCGGAGACAAAACGGAAGAAUAAUAGGGCUCCGACAAAGAAGAAUAAAGGCGGCAGGGAUAAGAAGUGGAAAAAGGACCUCAUUGACCUCAUUUACCAAACGCCUUACAGAAAGAGCUCCAUUCACUAAACCCUAGAAACAUUAGCGACCAAGAGAUUCAAUCGGAUGACAAUUUGGAUGUUUAUGAGUAUGAAGAAAAGGUUUCGGAUGACGAGCUGAAGAAGAAUCGAAGGUAUGAUCCUGUUGAGAACUUCGAGUACGAACUCCAUGAGGAUUUUGAGGGAGUGCAAAUAUUACAGAUCUUGUUCUUUGAUGUUCAUAUGCAUGUGAGGGUUGAAGAGGAACACUGAUGAGGAGGAACAAUGGUGCAAACGACAUAAAUACCCUCACAUGAGGGGCACGUGAUAUAACUUAACGUGUAAAAUUAACCAUGUUAGUGCUAAAGUACCUAGGGUCUAAUGAGUUUUACAAAUAAAGAAUUGUUACUAUAAUUAUUGAAGUUAAAAGUUAUCAAUUAUAACUUGAUACAAAUAUAAAAGACGAAAAGUGUAAUUUACCCUAUUAUUGUU
RNAcentral lists this long non-coding RNA (631 nucleotides) under Helianthus annuus (common sunflower). Its description in RNAcentral is "sRNA HanXRQr2_Chr09g0366331". Lineage: Eukaryota; Viridiplantae; Streptophyta; Magnoliopsida; Asterales; Asteraceae. The record is from RNAcentral.